GACGAACGCUGGCGGUGUGCUUAACACAUGCAAGUCGAACGGUAAGGCCCUUUCGGGGGUACACGAGUGGCGAACGGGUGAGUAACACGUGAGUAACCUUCCCUCAUCUCUGGGAUAACAGUCGGAAACGGUUGCUAAUACUGGAUAUGAGCUUGCAAGGCAUCUUGUGGGUUGGAAAGAUUUUUUUGGUUGGGGAUGGACUCGCGGCCUAUCAGCUUGUUGGUGAGGUAGUGGCUCACCAAGGCUUCGACGGGUAGCCGGCCUGAGAGGGCGACCGGCCACAUGGGGCCUGAGGGAGGGCCCAGAAUCCAACGGGAGGCAAUGGGGGGAAAUAUGGCAGAACGGCGGGGAGUCAGUGACAGAAGCCCCGGGGGCGGAAUAACGGCUUAUGGGGUGAAAACCAAUUUCAAUGGUAAUAAGCAUUUUUGGAAGGGAAGUAAUAAGAAAAGCACGGCUAACUUAGGG
This 465-nucleotide ribosomal RNA is filed under the name uncultured bacterium. RNAcentral's name for it is "partial 16S ribosomal RNA". It matches the Rfam family "Bacterial small subunit ribosomal RNA", at positions 28 to 507 of the family's 1533-position model. The record is from RNAcentral.